This 253-nucleotide ribosomal RNA is filed under the name uncultured bacterium. RNAcentral describes it as "partial 16S ribosomal RNA". It matches the Rfam family "Bacterial small subunit ribosomal RNA", at positions 524 to 776 of the family's 1533-position model. The record is from RNAcentral.
UACAGAGGUCUCAAGCGUUGUUCCGAUUCAUUGGGCGUAAAGGGUGCGUAGGCGGCGCGGUAAGUCGGGUGUGAAAUCUCGGAGCUUAACUCCGAAACUGCAUUCGAUACUGCCGUGCUUGAGGACUGGAGAGGAGACUGGAAUUUACGGUGUAGCGGUGAAAUGCGUAGAUAUCGUAAGGAAGACCAGUGGCGAAGGCGGGUCUCUGGACAGUUCCUGACGCUGAGGCACGAAGGUCAGGGGAGCAAACGGG